AAUCCAUAGGUUAAUGAGGCGAACCGGGGGAACUGAAACAUCUAAGUACCCCGAGGAAAAGAAAUCAACCGAGAUUCCCCCAGUAGCGGCGAGCGAACGGGGAGGAGCCCAGAGCCUGAAUCAGCAUGUGUGUUAGUGGAAGCGUCUGGAAAGGCGCGCGAUACAGGGUGACAGCCCCGUACACAAAAGCGCAUGUGCUGUGAGCUCGAUGAGUAGGGCGGGACACGUGGUAUCCUGUCUGAAUAUGGGGGGACCAUCCUCCAAGGCUAAAUACUCCUGACUGACCGAUAGUGAACCAGUACCGUGAGGGAAAGGCGAAAAGAACCCCGGCGAGGGGAGUGAAAAAGAACCUGAAACCGUGUACGUACAAGCAGUGGGAGCCCCACCACCAAAGCAUUUGCUGUACCGCGUUGACGGAGCGAAGCGACGUCAAACCGAUAAAACAGCAGUGUAAAGUGAGCCGCAGGGCGCUUUGCGCGACAGCGCAAAGGCAGGCGGUUUCGCGUAGCGAAAGCGA
This 517-nucleotide ribosomal RNA is filed under the name Salmonella enterica subsp. enterica serovar Enteritidis. Its description in RNAcentral is "partial 23S ribosomal RNA". The stretch from base 1 to 366 matches the Rfam family "Bacterial large subunit ribosomal RNA", at positions 161 to 565 of the family's 2925-position model. The record is from RNAcentral. Lineage: Bacteria; Pseudomonadati; Pseudomonadota; Gammaproteobacteria; Enterobacterales; Enterobacteriaceae.